GGGAUCCCAGUUCCAGCCUUGUUUCAAUAAGUCCCCUUUAUUGUAUAGACACAGCAAGAGGGCUUUGAGCCAGCCCAUUCAGCCUGGGCUUCCCAUAGGAUUACAUAUCUAAAUAUAUGGAAGUAAAAGUGGCCCGAGCAGCCACCAGGGCCACUGUGUCUGAGUCUGAGUGUCCUGGUCGCAGAGAGCCCAGCUGAGAGGUCAGGCGUCGAGCGAGUAGGUGCCAUGGUGUGGGAUACCGUCAUGUCUGCCUGGUGAGGUGAGGGAGGGAGACGGGAGAGGAAAUGGAAUGGAAAAUGGCCCUGGCUGUUUGCACCAUGUGGAGAGGACACCUAGCCAGUCUCCAUAUCCUCAGGGCUACUGGGGUCAAGACAUUAAAGCUAGGGGUGAGAUAGCUGUCCCUCUCUGACUGGAGCUCUUUGAUGACGUGAGGGAAGCCUUUGUGUGUGUAAUAGCCAGGAGGACCCGGAUAAAGAGGCCCUUUCUGCCCACUAAAAGCCUUUGUUGUCUGGGCUAAGUGGAGAUGGAGGGGUGGAGGGUUAAGGUGUCCGCGUGCUGCGAAUCCGGAACAGUUCGUGCACAUAAUAUGGAGACAUUUUGUCUCGUUAUAGUCUUCGGCAAGGUUUUUUUUUUACUGUUUGUGCAUACAAUAUUUUUUCUCGAGGCAAGCCGAAAUUCAGUUGCCGAAGUCUAUGCCCCUUCGGCGGUGUUUGGUCAACUGUAGGGGCUAAGAUUCAGCCCGAAACCCAUUGUGGAUUCAAAAUGGCGAAUGACAACAACUACAAUAGUUGGUGGGGGUUCUUGCAGGAACCUAACUGCCCAACUGAUUCACUUGGAUUUGAAUUUGAAAGGACUGCAGAAAAUGGACCCAAUUUAAUGGAUAUCAAUCAACAAAGAGGUAUACAGACGAGGAGGCAUAGAAAGGUAUUGGUAUGUUAUGCAGAUCACAUUUACCAUCCUCCUCCCUUACCUCUUCAAUAAAAAUCACAUAGGCCUCUACAUUAUGGACAAGGUAUGUGUAUGAAAACCAAUUUCAAAAGUGUUUUUCACAUUUACCACAAAAACCAAGGUAUGAAUACUGUCGUGUGCAUGUUUUGUUAAUCAUCUGUAUAAUUACUAUUUUUGAAUUCACAGACUUCACCCUCCCUACACCUCUGAUUAAUAUAACAGGAAACCUGUUUGAUCACCAUGUACUGCAAAAUCAUUCUGGCUAUGGAUACGGAGAACAUCAACACAUUAACAUCAACACGUCAGAGGAUAAACCGAUUGGACUUGGGGCUCUGCUGGGAGUUUACCUCAUACUUAGAUUUUCUAUUCUGCUUUGCCACUAAAAUCAUAAUAAACACUGACAACUAAAAUAUUGUGUUACUGUUGUUAUGUAUAUUAUUAAUAAUAAUAUUAAUAGGGGAAGGAGGGUAGUUCAAAAAUGUACCCCAAAAGGUUCUUCAAAAGGUUCUUCAAGGGUCCAUUUAAAGGGGUUAUUUGAAGAACUUAUGGGGGUUCCCCCACAGUUUCAAUUUGAAGAAGCCCUAAAGUAUCCUGCAGGAACCUUUACUUUUUAGAGUGUACGAUUCUAGCAUGUAAAGGCCAGUUCACUGCUCUCCACAGACUCUUCUCUAAUCCCCCUCCCCCCUCAUCCUUUCCACAAGGCCCUGACACCUAUAGCUGAUUUCAUGGAUUACCUAUCGCCAAAACUAUCACCAGCUGCAUGAGUU
Molecule: long non-coding RNA, 1715 nt
Filed under: Salmo salar (Atlantic salmon)
Lineage: Eukaryota; Metazoa; Chordata; Actinopteri; Salmoniformes; Salmonidae
Description: lncRNA (ENSSSAG00000098026.1)
Source: RNAcentral